Molecule: long non-coding RNA, 377 nt
Filed under: Mytilus galloprovincialis (Mediterranean mussel)
Lineage: Eukaryota; Metazoa; Mollusca; Bivalvia; Mytilida; Mytilidae
Source: RNAcentral
UAAGAUUAAAAGCCUUGGCGCGGAAAUGUUUUGGUAUUGUACCCAAACAGAAUGGCAAUUUGCGCGAACGUAAUGGCAACGUGCGCGAAUGUAAAUGCACCGGGAACCUUGUGAUACAGUUUCAUACUAAGUCAUUCAUUGUGUGUUAAUUUGCGUUUUUUUUUUAUUGAGUUAAGCCUUCCAAUUGAUAUUUUAUAGGGUGUCUUUCUGUAUUGUGAUAUUAUACUAUUGUUUCAGAAAAGGGAGAAGGUUUGGUACCAUUAAAACGUUUAAUCCCGCUGCAAAUGUUUGCACCUGUCCUAAGUCAGGAAUCUGGUGUUCAGUGGUUGUCGUCUGUUUAUGUAGUUCAUAAGUGUUUCUCGUUUCUCGUUUUUAUA